GAUUCCUACGGGAGGCAGCAGUGAGGAAUUUUCUGCAAUGGGCGCAAGCCUGACAGAGCAAUACCGCGUGAGGGAUGAAGACUUACUGAGUUGUAAACCUCGGUGCCUUAAGGAAGAAGAUCUGACGGUACUUAAGGUGGAAAGCAUCGGCUAACUCCGUGCCAGCAGCCGCGGUAAGACGGGGGAUGCAAGUGUUAUCCGGAUUUACUGGGCGUAAAGCGUCUGCAGGUGGUUUCUUAAGUCUACUGUUAAAUCUUGAGGCUCAACCUCAAAUCUGCAGUAGAAACUAGGAGACUUGAGUAUAGUAGGGGUAGAGGGAAUUUCCAGUGGAGCGGUGAAAUGCGUAGAUAUUGGAAAGAACACCGAUGGCGAAGGCACUCUACUGGGCUAUUACUGACACUCAGAGACGAAAGCUAGGGGAGCAAAUGGGAUUAGAUACCCCAGUAGUCCUAGCCGUAAACGAUGGAUACUCGAUGUUGGACGUAUCGACCCGUUCAGUAUCUUAGCUAACGCGUUAAGUAUCCCGCCUGGGGAGUACGCUCGCAAGAGUGAAACUCAAAGGAAUUGACGGAAUC
Molecule: ribosomal RNA, 575 nt
Filed under: uncultured bacterium
Lineage: Bacteria
Description: bacterial SSU rRNA
Rfam family: Bacterial small subunit ribosomal RNA
Source: RNAcentral